UACGGGGGUGGCAAGCGUUGUCCGGAAUUACUAGGCGUAAAGGGCAGGUAGGCGGAUUGGUAAGUUAAUCGUUAAAGACCGGCGCUCACCGUCGGUAAGGCGGUUGAUACUGUCAAUCUGGAAUCGAGUGGGGGAAGACGGAAUUCCUGGUGUAGCGGUGGAAUGCGCAGAUAUCAGGAGGAACACCAAAGGCGAAGGCAGUCUUCUACGCUUGUAUUGACGCUAAACUGCGAAGGUGCGGGUAUCAAACAGG
This 253-nucleotide ribosomal RNA is filed under the name uncultured bacterium. Its description in RNAcentral is "partial 16S ribosomal RNA". It matches the Rfam family "Bacterial small subunit ribosomal RNA", at positions 524 to 776 of the family's 1533-position model. The record is from RNAcentral.